Molecule: ribosomal RNA, 497 nt
Filed under: uncultured bacterium
Lineage: Bacteria
Description: partial 16S ribosomal RNA
Rfam family: Bacterial small subunit ribosomal RNA
Source: RNAcentral
GACGAACGCUGGCGGCGUGCCUAAUACAUGCAAGUUGAGCGCUGAAGGUUGGUACUUGUACCAACUGGAUGAGCAGCGAACGGGUGAGUAACGCGUGGGGAAUCUGCCUUUGAGCGGGGGACAACAUUUGGAAACGAAUGCUAAUACCGCAUAAAAACUUUAAACACAAGUUUUAAGUUUGAAAGAUGCAAUUGCAUCACUCAAAGAUGAUCCCGCGUUGUAUUAGCUAGUUGGUGAGGUAAAGGCUCACCAAGGCGAUGAUACAUAGCCGACCUGAGAGGGUGAUCGGCCACAUUGGGACUGAGACACGGCCCAAACUCCCACGGGAGGCAGCAGUAGGGAAUCUUCGGCCAUGGACGAAAGUCUGACCGAGCAACGCCGCGUGAGUGAAGAAGGUUUUCGGAUCGUAAAACUCUGUUGGUAGGGAAGAACGUUGGUGAGAGUGGAAAGCUCAUCAAGUGACGGUAACUACCCAGAAAGGGACGGCUAACUACGUG